This 1309-nucleotide long non-coding RNA is filed under the name Homo sapiens (human). Its description in RNAcentral is "HSALNT0179959". Lineage: Eukaryota; Metazoa; Chordata; Mammalia; Primates; Hominidae. The record is from RNAcentral.
CUCAGUUCAACAUGCUCAUGAGGAGGACUUUGAAAGUGCUAUGGAUAAUUUUCUAACAAGGCACAACUACCCAGCAGGACUGAGACCAAAAAAAGAACCAUCUUUUAAAUGUUCUGUGAACAAGACAAGACCAUGGGAAUUGUAGUUGAGAAGAGGAAACAGACUGCAGGUACAUGCUGGGGGAACCGGGGCUCAGGGCUUCGCCCUGCUAUGUCUCUACUCACUCUCUGAUGAUCUCUCCAAGGGACUGAUGGGGCUUUCAGUCCCAUGCCUGUAUCAUGGCAACCCAUAUUUCUAUCUCCAGCCCAGCCCUCUCCAGACCUGUGUGUCUGCCCAAUCAAUCUCUCCACUUGUUUUUCUAAUGAACACCUCAAACCUAAAAUAUAUAACAUUAAGCUGUCUUAUCCCUCUACCCCAGCAUCUUCCAAUCUCAGCCAGCAGCAUCUCCGUUUUUCCAGCUGCUUGGAGUCAUCCCUGAUUCCUGUCUUUUUCUCAUACCCAAAAAAACAAUCAGACAGAAAAUCUUAUAUAUAUGUAAAUCUUCGCCCCGGUUGGAGUGCAAUGGCGCAAUCUCGGCUCACUGAAACCUCUGCCUCCUGGGUUCACGCUAUUCUCUUGCCUCAGCCUCCCGAGUAGGUGGGAUUAAGGGUGCACACCAUCACACCCAGCUAAUGUUUUGUAUUUUUAUUGAUUGAUUGAUUGACUGAGACAGAGUCUCGCUCUGUCGCCCAGGCUGGAGUGCCGUGGCGCCAUCUCGGCUCACUGCAAGCUCUGCCUCCCAGGUUCACACCAUUCUCCUGCCACAGCCUCCCGAGUAGCUGGGACUACGGGCACCUGCCACCACUCCCUGCUAAUUUUUUUUUUUUUUUUUUUUUAGUAGAGACGGGGUUUCACCGUGUUAGCCAGGAUGGUCUCGAUCUCCUGACCUCUUGAUCCGCUCACCUUGGCCUCCCAAAGUGCUGGGAUUACAGGCGUGAGCCACCGCGCCCGGCCUUUUAUCCUACUUUCAAAAAACAUACCCAGAGUCUGAGUGUUUCUCCUUACCUCCAGCGCCACUCCAUGGCCCGAGCUCUGUUUCACCUGGUUCUCACCUGGAUCGCGGCCUCCAAUUUGCGCAGUGACCCCUACAGUCUAUUCUCCAAACAGCAGCUGGCGUGGUCAUUAUGAAAAGCAAUGUCCACCUGCUGCUCAAAAACCCACGAAUGGCUCCCCAUUUCUUUCCCAUUAAAGCCAAAGUCUAAAACAUUUACAAAGCGUUAUAUGAUCAGUUCCUACCUGCUUUCCUUAUGUUGGAGGCUGUGAAGCUCCU